CCCUAUCGCUUUAUCCUCACUGAUGAGAAACAACUAGCAGCGUGAGGAAUCUAAAACAAUUACCUCGUUGGGCUCACUGAACUACCUGGAGAAAAAUACUUCCACGUUCAAAAACUCGGGCGUUGCCAACCCAGAUCGACCAAAAUGGACCUGACCUUGACAACAGUGGUGAGCCUCAAAAUCGUUGGCAAGCCCUCAUGAUCCCCUAAUAAGCGAUCAGUGUUGCAAGAUGAGUGUUCUACAGAGAAAUUAUGACCAAAGCGUCCCCUCAAGGCCGUAGUUUAUGGGGCUUUGACUCCUCAAGAUGCAGCUCAGGACGGAAUAGAUCGCUUCCGCCAACGAACGAAUCCCGCGUCAAGAUCUCCCGGGCAACCAUAACGACAACCAUAACCAGAUGGAUCUACUGGUUAGUUGGUUGGUCGAGAUGUGGGGCAACAUAUCUGACUUCAGGGCACCGGUGGUGUUGCUCCACUUCAAAAUAAAGAAUCAGAGCUGAUCCAUGUUCCCGAUUACUAUUUCCCCAGACCCGAAGAGUUCACAAUUUCCCUUCCAAACACCGGGGGUGGGAUUGUGGAAGAUUCUACCACUCUCUGUUAAGGAGGAAGUCGCUUCGUUUUGAUGACUUGUCGGAAGUGUGGAGUAACCUGCCUUAUGCCCGGAUCUCUUUCCCUGGAUUCGCUCGCCAUGCUAGAUGCUAGCUAGAGCUCUGGCAAACCUCAAUCAGCUUGCUUCUAGAGCUCCCCAGGCAAAGAACGAUUUGUUGGGACUCGUUCAUUGAUUUCUUUCAUCCAUCCCGUGUGGACGAGAAACACCCUUCUCAUUAGAAAACUCUGCACACCUCGGCGUGACAGUUGUGCUAAUGAUGACGAUCAGACUUACUAGUGAAGUAAUUAGAGCAGAUCAUCGAACUUGAUAAGAACGAAGAAUUGAGAUCAGAACACGUCCACAUCCAUCCAAUUCGGGAUUAGUUGCAAGUACCAAGACAAUCGCACGCUAAUUCCAAAAAAGAAAGAAAAAAAACAAUCGGAAAGUGGAGCAUCUCCACAAACCAGAUUCUUAUCAAUCAAAACCCGCUAGUAGAUGUAAUGUGAGGUAAAGCGUAAAUCGUGAAAAGUCAGCUAAAGUACCAUGUCGGAGAAUAUGUUGUAAAUAUGGUAUUGUUCAAGUCAGACAAAUUGCACCAAAAGGAAACGAGAUCCUCGAUGUCACGAAGGAACGAUUGCGAAAAGGACUUGAACUUUUCUCUCAGGCCCGACUUUCUUCUCCAUUUUUGAAUUGGCGGACGGUUGGAAAUCUCCAUCCAUCUCGGAUUCAAAGAAGCAGGAUGGAGAAAGAAUGAGACAAGCAGUUGUGCAGCACAUCAAUUCCGUGAGAGAGUGAGACUGAAACAUGGAAUCUGUUCAAUUUCCUUCUUCUUUUUCCAAAGCCAGUCUCCUAAUUCAUUGGGCAGAGCCAGCCAGGUGCAAAUCCAAACACAUUCAGAAUGGAUCGCGGGAAAAUUAUGAGGACUUAUUGCACCACUACAUUUCGACGUGAAGAGUACGAUGCUUUGACUAGGAAAUGUCAGUUUCGGGAGGCGAACUUUUGGCAUGAAAAGUGAACCUUCAUCGAUUCGCCAUCGGAUUUUUGAAUGAUCCUUUUGGGAUUGAUGUUGUGGGGUACAUUUAUGAUCAGAGUGAAAAUUAUUGAAACAAAACAAAGUGGAGCCACGAUCCUCAUUUAAUGUUUCGAGGAAACGUUUCUGAGUAAGUAUUACUAUUAUUUGAAUUGACAUGUCUUGUACAAGUUUCAAAUACUGCAUGGAGCUUCAGCAAGCAAAAUUCGAAACGGAGGUGCAAAACUGUCUGGAUCAUUUUGUAGUGAUGAGGCGAAGUGUCUGUCUGAGAGGAAGCUCGUCAAUCAAGUGAUAGACCCUUUUUAUAAAUAACAAUUACCUUGUGGUGAAACAAAGUGCUAUCAAGUCGCCCACGAAAUAACGCUAGUAUCGUACUACAUUCGAAAAGGGCAAGUCUAGCGUAGAAGGGUUUGUUGAUUAAGUAUCAUUCAAACCAAGAGUCUUCAAGUCGAAAAGAACUGUCUCUAAGAGAUAUGUCUAAUAUAAGAAGAAUAUAAUCAAAAUACAAAAACGUUUGUGGGAUUUUUGCCCAAAAUCAAUGUUAAAAUGAAGUUGGGCGGCAAGCUCAAGCGAUCACACAAGAUAAGUUUGUCCAUGUUAAUAUUUACCCAAGAGCUUUAUCCUGGGAUGUGCUGAAUUGCGUGUAUCACGUUGAACGCAUGCUAAACAAAAUGUCUUUUCUCGUUCGCCAAACGAAGUGCCCCAUUGAUUUCUUUCUGAGUAUUGUAUUCAAAUUCUUUUCUCUGAAUUUCAAUAAAAAAAAUCGAGCCAUUUUCCCUUCA
Long non-coding RNA from Tigriopus californicus, 2397 nucleotides. RefSeq lists it as uncharacterized. The record is from RefSeq and is a predicted model, not a curated record. The transcript has 2 exons. NCBI's taxonomy places the organism in Eukaryota, Metazoa, Arthropoda, Copepoda, Harpacticoida, Harpacticidae.